RNAcentral lists this ribosomal RNA (438 nucleotides) under Stagmomantis vicina. RNAcentral describes it as "partial 16S ribosomal RNA". The stretch from base 1 to 151 matches the Rfam family "Archaeal large subunit ribosomal RNA", at positions 1908 to 2096 of the family's 2987-position model. The record is from RNAcentral. Lineage: Eukaryota; Metazoa; Arthropoda; Insecta; Mantodea; Mantidae.
GGUUUCUUGUAAUUUAAUUAAUUUAAGGAAUUUAACCUGCCCACUGAAUAAAAUUUUGAAGGGCCGCAGUAUUUUGACUGUGCAAAGGUAGCAUAAUCAUUAGUCUUUUAAUUGGGGACUGGUAUGAAUGGUUGGACGAGGUGAAUACUGUUUUAUAUUAAUUUAAUUGAAUUUAGAUUUUAAGUAAAAAGACUUAAAUAUUAUUAAGGGACGAGAAGACCCUAUAGAGUUUAAUAUAUAAUGUAAUUAAUUGAGUUAAAAUUUAAUUUUUAAUUAUUAUUAAGUAUAUUUAAUUGGGGUGAUUAAAGAAUAUUAUAAACUUCUUUUUUUAUUUAAUGUUAUAAAUAAUUUUAUGAUCCAAUUUUAAUGAUUAAAAGAUUAAAUUACCUUAGGGAUAACAGCAUAAUUUUUUUUAAGAGUUCAUAUUGAAAGAAAAGA